RNAcentral lists this ribosomal RNA (2242 nucleotides) under Ceriodaphnia dubia. RNAcentral describes it as "SSU rRNA". It matches the Rfam family "Eukaryotic small subunit ribosomal RNA". Lineage: Eukaryota; Metazoa; Arthropoda; Branchiopoda; Diplostraca; Daphniidae. The record is from RNAcentral.
CCUGGUUGAUCCUGCCAGUAGCAUAUGCUUGUNUCANAGANUAAGCCAUGCAUGUCUAAGUACAANCCGCUAGUCGGCGAAACCGCGAAUGGCUCAAUAAAUCAGUUAUGGUUCCUUAGAUCCACUCCAUCCUACUUGGAUAACUGUGGUAAUUCUAGAGCUAAUANAUGCACUCGAGCCUCGACUGCCCCGUCNNNAGGGCAGAAGAGGUGCUUUUAUUAGAUCANNACCAGUCGGUCCGCUCCUUCGGGGGCUACGACCGUCCCAUUUUGGUGACUCUGGAUAACUUCACACCGAUCGCACGGCCUUCGACCGGCGACGCAUCUUUCAAAUGUCUGCCUUAUCAACUGUCGAUGGUAGGUUACGCGCCUACCAUGGUUGCAACGGGUAACGGGGAAUCGGGGUUCGAUUCCGGAGAGGGAGCCUGAGAAACGGCUACCACAUCCAAGGAAGGCAGCAGGCGCGCAAAUUACCCACUCCCGGCACGGGGAGGUAGUGACGAAAAAUAACGAUACGGGACUCUUCCGAGGCCCCGUGAUUGGAAUGAGUACACUUUAAAUCCUUUAACGAGGAACCAUUGGAGGGCAAGUCUGUGCCAGCAGCCGCGGUAACUCCAGCUCCAAUAGCGUAUAUUAAAGUUGUUGCGGNUAAAAAGCUCGUAGUCGGAUGUCUGUCUUCGGCCGGGCGGCGCCGCUCUGAAUCAAGGGUGCGCGUUUUCGCUCUGGGAGACGGGUGUCAAAGCCCGACUCUCUUUACGGUCGGACAACAUCGCCGGAGUGGUGGUCGGUGGGUCGUUCGCAAUCGGGCCGUCUGCCGCGGCGUUAAAAACCGCGGUGGUGGAAUCCUGUUCGAUCCGCUCCACCCGUCAAUCGUUCGGGGUGCCCUUCACCGGGUGUCUCGGGCGGCCGGCAACGUUUACUUUGAACAAAUUAGAGUGCUCAAAGCAGGUGUAUCCCAACGCCUGAAUAUCGCAGCAUGGAAUGAUGGAAUAGGACCUCGGUCCGAUUUUGCUGGUCUUUUCUUUUGGACCCGAGGUAAUGGUCAAUAGAGACGGACGGGGGCAUUCGUACUGCGGCGACAGAGGUGAAAUUCUUGGACCGCCGCAAGACGAACAACAGCGAAGGCAUUUGCCAAGAAUGUUUUCCUUGAUCAAGAACGAAAGUUAGAGGUUCGAAGGCGAUCAGAUACCGCCCUAGUUCUAACCAUAAACGAUGCCAACCAGCAAUCCGGCGGAGUUACUCCAAUGACUCGCCGGGCAGCUUCCGGGAAACCAAAGUCUUUGGGUUCCGGGGGAAGUAUGGUUGCAAAGCUGAAACUUAAAGGAAUUGACGGAAGGGCACCACCAGGAGUGGAGCCUGCGGCUUAAUUUGACUCAACACGGGAAACCUCACCAGGCCCGGACACUGGAAGGAUUGACAGAUUGAGAGCUCUUUCUUGAUUCGGUGGGUGGUGGUGCAUGNCCGUUCUUAGUUGGUGGAGCGAUUUGUCUGGUUAAUUCCGAUAACGAACGAGACUCUANCCUCCUAAAUAGGUGACGGGNUUUAUCAAUUGAAACCGAAGGGGGUACGGAGACGUCGGGAUCAGNUGUCGNCGGUUUGGGACCNUUGGGACGGGAGCGUGGUCUCGUUGUUUCUCGGAGGUUUUUUUUCNUCGGGCUNUCGUGNCUUUCGGGUCGCGNCUGUUCGNCGGGGAGAGCUUUCGGGGGCGNCGGGGUUGCGUUUUCGCGCCUGGCGGUUUCGGUCGUCGUCAUCCCCGGCGAUUCUCCUGCUCUCGCGUCCGUCACAAGUCUUCUUAGAGGGACAAGCGUCGUCCAGCCGCGUGACAGUGAGCAAUAACAGGUCUGUGAUGCCCUUAGAUGUCCUGGGCCGCACGCGCGCNACACUGAAGGAAUCAGCGUGUNUCACUCUCCCUGUCCGAAAGGACCGGGUAACCGCUGAACCUCCUUCGUGGUUGGGAGUGGGGACUGCAAUGAUCCCCAUGAACCANGAAUCCCUAGUAGGCNCGGGUCACUAGNCCGCGUCGAUUACGUCCCUNCCCUUUGUACACACCGCCCGUCGCUACUACCGAUUGAAUGAUUUAGUGAGGACUUCGGACGGGCUUGUCGGGGUCCGGCUCGUGGGGGGCAACCUCUGCGUGUUCGGUCCUACUAACGGCGAGACUGAAAGAUGUUCGAACUUGAUCCUUUAGAGGAAGUAAAAGUCGUAACAAGGUUUCCGUAGGUGAACCUGCGGAAGGAUCAUUA